This 571-nucleotide ribosomal RNA is filed under the name Agrobacterium tumefaciens. Its description in RNAcentral is "bacterial SSU rRNA". It matches the Rfam family "Bacterial small subunit ribosomal RNA", at positions 83 to 689 of the family's 1533-position model. The record is from RNAcentral. Lineage: Bacteria; Pseudomonadati; Pseudomonadota; Alphaproteobacteria; Hyphomicrobiales; Rhizobiaceae.
CCCGCAAGGGGAGUGGCAGACGGGUGAGUAACGCGUGGGAACAUACCCUUUCCUGCGGAAUAGCUCCGGGAAACUGGAAUUAAUACCGCAUACGCCCUACGGGGGAAAGAUUUAUCGGGGAAGGAUUGGCCCGCGUUGGAUUAGCUAGUUGGUGGGGUAAAGGCCUACCAAGGCGACGAUCCAUAGCUGGUCUGAGAGGAUGAUCAGCCACAUUGGGACUGAGACACGGCCCAAACUCCUACGGGAGGCAGCAGUGGGGAAUAUUGGACAAUGGGCGCAAGCCUGAUCCAGCCAUGCCGCGUGAGUGAUGAAGGCCUUAGGGUUGUAAAGCUCUUUCACCGGAGAAGAUAAUGACGGUAUCCGGAGAAGAAGCCCCGGCUAACUUCGUGCCAGCAGCCGCGGUAAUACGAAGGGGGCUAGCGUUGUUCGGAAUUACUGGGCGUAAAGCGCACGUAGGCGGAUAUUUAAGUCAGGGGUGAAAUCCCAGAGCUCAACUCUGGAACUGCCUUUGAUACUGGGUAUCUUGAGUAUGGAAGAGGUAAGUGGAAUUCCGAGUGUAGAGGUGAAAUUC